UCCGAGUUGACCCCGGCAGUCUCCUAUGAGUCCCCACCAUAACGUGCUGGCAACAUAGGACGAGGGUUGCGCUCGUUGCGGGACUUAACCCAACAUCUCACGACACGAGCUGACGACAGCCAUGCAGCACCUAGUUUCGGGCCAUUGCUGGCUGCACCCUUUCAGGCACAUUCCCUAACUUUCAAGCCCUGGUAAGGUUCCUCGCGUAUCAUCGAAUUAAACCACAUGCUCCUCCGCUUGUGCGGGCCCCCGUCAAUUCCUUUGAGUUUCACCGUUGCCGGCGUACUCCCAGGUGGAUUACUUAUCGCUUUCGCUAAGCCACUGAAUGUUGCCAUCCAGCAGCGAGUAAUCAUCGUUUACAGUGCGGACUAC
RNAcentral lists this unclassified non-coding RNA (372 nucleotides) under uncultured Bacteroidia bacterium. Its description in RNAcentral is "contains 16S-23S intergenic spacer region". Lineage: Bacteria; Pseudomonadati; Bacteroidota; Bacteroidia. The record is from RNAcentral.